GACGCUGGCGGCGUGCCUAACACAUGCAAGUCGAACGGUAACAGGGACUUCGGUCUGCUGACGAGUGGCGCACGGGUGAGUAACGCGUGGAUAUCUGCCUAUUAGUGGGGGACAACUACGGGAAACCGUAGCUAAUACCGCAUAAUCUCUACGGAGGAAAGCAGGGGACCUUUCGGGGCCUUGCGCUGAUAGAUGAGUCCGCGUCAGAUUAGCUAGUUGGUAAGGUAAUGGCUUACCAAGGCGAUGAUCUGUAACUGGUUUGAGAGGAUGAUCAGUCACACUGGAACUGAGACACGGUCCAGACUCCUACGGGAGGCAGCAGUGGGGAAUAUUGCACAAUGGGCGAAAGCCUGAUGCAGCGACGCCGCGUGCGGGAAGAAGGCCUUCGGGUUGUAAACCGCUUUCAAUUGGGAAGAAGAGAUGAGUACUAAUAUUGCUCUGAUUUGACGGUACCUUUAGAAGAAGCACCGGCUAAUUUCGUGCCAGCAGCCGCGGUAAUACGAAAGGUGCAAGCGUUGUUCGGAUUUACUGGGCGUAAAGAGAUCGUAGGUGGUUUGUUAAGUCGGAUGUGAAAUCCCGGGGCUCAACCCCGGAACUGCAUUCGAUACUGGCAGGCUAGAGUUUGGGAGGGGUAAGCGGAAUUCCGUGUGUAGCAGUGAAAUGCGUAGAUAUACGGAGGAACACCUGAGGCGAAGGCGGCUUACUGGACCAAUACUGACACUGAGGAUCGAAAGCGUGGGUAGCAAACAGGAUUAGAUACCCUGGUAGUCCACGCCCUAAACGAUGUCAACUAGCCGUAGCGGGUAUCGACCCCUGCUGUGGCGAAGCUAACGCGAUAAGUUGACCGCCUGGGGAGUACGGUCG
This 864-nucleotide ribosomal RNA is filed under the name uncultured Zetaproteobacteria bacterium. RNAcentral describes it as "bacterial SSU rRNA". It matches the Rfam family "Bacterial small subunit ribosomal RNA", at positions 32 to 888 of the family's 1533-position model. The record is from RNAcentral. Lineage: Bacteria; Pseudomonadati; Pseudomonadota; Candidatius Mariprofundia.